This 76-nucleotide transfer RNA is filed under the name Acidobacteriota bacterium. RNAcentral's name for it is "Acidobacteria bacterium (freshwater sediment metagenome) tRNA-Gly". It matches the Rfam family "tRNA". Rfam says of the family: Transfer RNA (tRNA) molecules are approximately 80 nucleotides in length. Their secondary structure includes four short double-helical elements and three loops (D, anti-codon, and T loops). Lineage: Bacteria; Pseudomonadati; Acidobacteriota. The record is from RNAcentral.
GCGGGCAUAGCUCAGCUGGUAGAGCAUCGGCUUCCCAAGCCGAGGGUCGUGGGUUCGAAUCCCAUUGCCCGCUCCA